AGCAGCUGCGGUAAUUCCAGCUCCAAUAGCGUAUAUUAAAGUUGUUGCAGUUAAAAAGCUCGUAGUUGAAUUUCGGGAUCAAUUUAUUGGUCGUGCUAUUGUACGUACUGGUAUUAUUGAUUCCUACCUUCUGACGAACCAUGAUGUCAUUAAUUUGGUGUUAUGGGGAAUCAGGACUGUUACUUUGAAAAAAUUAGAGUGUUUAAAGCAGGCUCACGCUUGAAUACAUUAGCAUGGAAUAACGAAAUAGGACGUUUGAUUCUAUUUUGUUGGUUUCUAGGAUCGACGUAAUGAUUAAUAGGGAUAGUUGGGGGGCAUUAGUAUUCAAUUGUCAGAGGUGAAAUUCUUGGAUUUAUUGAAGACU
Molecule: ribosomal RNA, 364 nt
Filed under: uncultured Glomus
Lineage: Eukaryota; Fungi; Glomeromycota; Glomeromycetes; Glomerales; Glomeraceae
Description: SSU rRNA
Rfam family: Eukaryotic small subunit ribosomal RNA
Source: RNAcentral